UACAUGGGGUGCAAACGUUGCUCGGAAUUAUUGGGCGUAAAGCGCACGUAGGCGGUUUGUUAAGUCGGAUGUGAAAUCCCUCGGCUCAACUGAGGAAGUGCAUCCGAAACUGGCAGGCUUGAGUACUAAAGAGGGUCGCGGAAUUCCCGGUGUAGAGGUGAAAUUCGUAGAUAUCGGGAGGAACACCGGUGGCGAAGGCGGCGACCUGGGUAGAUACUGACGCUGAGGAGCGAAAGCCAGGGGAGCAAACGGG
RNAcentral lists this ribosomal RNA (253 nucleotides) under uncultured bacterium. RNAcentral's name for it is "partial 16S ribosomal RNA". It matches the Rfam family "Bacterial small subunit ribosomal RNA", at positions 524 to 776 of the family's 1533-position model. The record is from RNAcentral.